AUUGAACGCUGGCGGCAUGCCUUACACUUGCAAGUCGAACGGCAGCACGGGAGCAAUCCUGGUGGCGAGUGGCGAACGGGUGAGUAAUAUAUCGGAACGUGCCCAGUCGUGGGGGAUAACGCAGCGAAAGCUGUGCUAAUACCGCAUACGAUCUAUGGAUGAAAGCGGGGGAUCGCAAGACCUCGCGCGAUUGGAGCGGCCGAUAUCAGAUUAGCUAGUUGGUGAGGUAAAGGCUCACCAAGGCGACGAUCUGUAGCUGGUCUGAGAGGACGACCAGCCACACUGGAACUGAGACACGGUCCAGACUCCUACGAGAGGCAGCAGUGGGGAAUUUUGGACAAUGGGCGCAAGCCUGAUCCAGCAAUGCCGCGUGCAGGAUGAAGGCCUUCGGGUUGUAAACUGCUUUUGUACGGAGCGAAAAGGCUUCUCCUAAUACGAGGGGCUCAUGACGGUACCGUAAGAAUAAGCACCGGCUAACUACGUGCCAGCCGCCGCCGUAA
This 500-nucleotide ribosomal RNA is filed under the name uncultured bacterium. RNAcentral's name for it is "partial 16S ribosomal RNA". It matches the Rfam family "Bacterial small subunit ribosomal RNA", at positions 30 to 523 of the family's 1533-position model. The record is from RNAcentral.